GGGGAUUUGGCUCAGUGGUAGAGCGCUUGCCUAGGAAGCGCAAGGCCCUGGGUUCGAUCCCCAGCCCCG
Rattus norvegicus (Norway rat) is the source of this 69-nucleotide non-coding RNA. The record is from Rfam. Lineage: Eukaryota; Metazoa; Chordata; Mammalia; Rodentia; Muridae.